Molecule: ribosomal RNA, 125 nt
Filed under: uncultured bacterium
Lineage: Bacteria
Description: partial 16S ribosomal RNA
Rfam family: Bacterial small subunit ribosomal RNA
Source: RNAcentral
CGAAUACGUUCCCGGGCCUUGUAACACACCGCCCGUCACACCAUGGGAGUUGGUUUUACCCGAAGCCCGGUGCGGCCAACCCGUAAGGGGGUACGCCGACCACGGUAAGUCCAGCGACUGGGGUG